Molecule: ribosomal RNA, 832 nt
Filed under: Entrophospora lutea
Lineage: Eukaryota; Fungi; Glomeromycota; Glomeromycetes; Entrophosporales; Entrophosporaceae
Also listed under: 1 other name
Description: eukaryotic LSU rRNA
Rfam family: Eukaryotic large subunit ribosomal RNA
Source: RNAcentral
AAGUGCUUGGUCGAGAUUGUAAGAUACAUUUAACAAUGACCUCAAAUCAGGCAAGAAUACCCGCUGAAUUAAGCAUAUCAAUAAGCGGAGGAAAAGAAACUAACAAGGAUUCCCCUAGUAACGGCGAGUGAAGAGGGAAGAGCUCAAAUUUUAAAUCUGCCUUGUUUCAAGGUCGAGUUGUAAUUUGAAGAAGCGUUUUCUUGGGCUCGCGGCCGGUAGAAGUUCUUUGGAACAGGACAUCAUAGAGGGUGACAAUCCCGUCUGCGACCGGUCGUGUGUUCAUCUACGAUACGCUUUCAAAGAGUCGAGUUGUUUGGGAUUGCAGCUCCAAAUGGGUGGUAAACAUCACCUAAGGCUAAAUAUUGGCGAGAGACCGAUAGCGAACAAGUACCGUGAGGGAAAGAUGAAAAGAACUUUGAAAAGAGAGUUAAACAGUACGUGAAAUUGUUGAAAGGGAAACGAUUGAAGUCAGUCGUGCUGGCGCGAAAUCAACCCUCUCGUCGAGAGGACACAUGGCGUGGCGAGCCUCAAAACCGUCACGAAGCGUGAACUCUUGGCGAAAAGGAGCACUUUCGUGUCCGCUGGUUAACAUCAAUUUCGAACGUCAUAAAAAGGCUGGAGGGAUGUGGCUCCUUCGGGAGUGUUAUAACCUUUAGCGGAAUGUGGUGGUCGGGAUUGAGGAUUGCAACGAAUACCUUUAGGGCUGUUCCACCUGGCCUCUCUUUGGUAUCCUGGUGACGACAGCUUGCUGACGUUGUUAGGAUUCGCCAUUGAACAGGCUAGAGUGUGAGCAAAUUCGUUAAGGAUGUUAACGUAAUGGCUUUAAACGACC